Molecule: ribosomal RNA, 490 nt
Filed under: uncultured bacterium
Lineage: Bacteria
Description: partial 16S ribosomal RNA
Rfam family: Bacterial small subunit ribosomal RNA
Source: RNAcentral
AUUGAACGCUGGCGGCAGGCCUAACACAUGCAAGUCGAACGGUAACAGGAAGCAGCUUGCUGCUUCGCUGACGAGUGGCGGACGGGUGAGUAAUGUCUGGGAAGCUGCCUGAUGGAGGGGGAUAACUACUGGAAACGGUAGCUAAUACCGCAUAAUGUCGCAAGACCAAAGAGGGGGACCUUCGGGCCUCUUGCCAUCGGAUGUGCCCAGAUGGGAUUAGCUUGUUGGUGGGGUAACGGCUCACCAAGGCGACGAUCCCUAGCUGGUCUGAGAGGAUGACCGGCCACACUGGAACUGAGACACGGUCCAGACUCCUACGGGAGGCAGCAGUGGGGAAUAUUGCACAAUGGGCGCAAGCCUGAUGCAGCCAUGCCGCGUGUAUGAAGAAGGCCUUCGGGUUGUAAAGUACUUUCAGCGGGGAGGAAGGGAGUAAAGUUAAUACCUUUGCUCAUUGACGUUACCCGCAGAAGAAGCACCGGCUAACUCCGUG